UGGUGUAGCUCAAUUGGUAGAGCAACUGAUUUGUAAUCAGUAGGUUAUGAGUUCAAGUCUCUUCACU
RNAcentral lists this transfer RNA (67 nucleotides) under Phaeocystis globosa. It matches the Rfam family "tRNA", at positions 5 to 66 of the family's 71-position model. From Rfam's summary of the family: Transfer RNA (tRNA) molecules are approximately 80 nucleotides in length. Lineage: Eukaryota; Haptophyta; Phaeocystales; Phaeocystaceae. The record is from RNAcentral.